RNAcentral lists this long non-coding RNA (445 nucleotides) under Gallus gallus (chicken). RNAcentral describes it as "lncRNA (ENSGALG00010008744.1)". Lineage: Eukaryota; Metazoa; Chordata; Aves; Galliformes; Phasianidae. The record is from RNAcentral.
GGAAAGGCCAUGGUGUAUCAUGAGAAUUUACUUCUUCACUGUGGAUGGCAGAUACUGUCAACAGGUGAAUGUUUGGAGUAUGGCAAUAAUUCAAGGAACAUAAAUUGAUGAAGAUAAAGGGUCACAAAGAAGUUGAGGAAUCCUUGUGUUUGGCCGGAUACCCAGCACCUGCGGAACACAUAUCUACAGCAAAUAUUGUGCUUUGUUUAACUUCUACCUGAAAUAAAGCUGAUGCUAUGGAACUUCAGUUUGGGAAGAUAAGAUUUGGUUUGUUUCACUUGCUACAGUGGCACUUGGGAUGCACUAGCACAAAGCGGUUGUUGCUGAGCUAUUCAAUACAUCUUUUCUCUCCACUUCCACUGAAGGCUUUUUAUUUUGGCUAGUUGUAAACAAUGAUGGUUACUUGGCAUGGAGUUGUGGUUUUUGGUGCUGGGCUGGCUUGUAG